This 577-nucleotide ribosomal RNA is filed under the name uncultured bacterium. RNAcentral's name for it is "bacterial SSU rRNA". It matches the Rfam family "Bacterial small subunit ribosomal RNA", at positions 55 to 623 of the family's 1533-position model. The record is from RNAcentral.
AUGCAAGUCGAGCGGUAACAGAGGUAGCUUGCUACCUGCUGACGAGCGGCGGACGGGUGAGUAACGCGUAGGAAUCUACCCAGUAGCGGGGGAUAAGCCAGAGAAAUUUGGUCUAAUACCGCAUACGCCCUUCGGGGGAAAGCAGGGGAUCUUCGGACCUUGCACUAUUGGAUGAGCCUGCGUGAGAUUAGCUUGUUGGUGAGGUAAUGGCUCACCAAGGCGACGAUCUCUAGCUGGUCUGAGAGGAUGAUCAGCCACACUGGAACUGAGACACGGUCCAGACUCCUACGGGAGGCAGCAGUGGGGAAUAUUGCACAAUGGGCGCAAGCCUGAUGCAGCCAUGCCGCGUGUGUGAAGGAGGCCCUAGGGUUGUAAAGCACUUUCAGCAGUGAGGAAAGGUUAGUAGUUAAUACCUGCUAACUGUGACGUUAACUGCAGAAGAAGCACCGGCUAACUCCGUGCCAGCAGCCGCGGUAAUACGGAGGGUGCGAGCGUUAAUCGGAAUUACUGGGCGUGAAGCGCGCGUANGUGGAUUGGUCAGUCAGAUGUGAAAGCCCAGGGCUCAACCUUGGAACUG